This is a non-coding RNA of Schistosoma curassoni, 44 nucleotides long. NCBI's taxonomy places the organism in Eukaryota, Metazoa, Platyhelminthes, Trematoda, Strigeidida, Schistosomatidae. The record is from Rfam.
ACUAGGUGACGAGUCCCAAACAGGAUGAAACGUAUGUCCUGGAU